GCCCUCAUUACUCCUUGACUUUAAUGUUGCAAACACCUACCUUCCUCCAGUGUUUUUUUUUUUUUCUUCCAAUCAUUACCCACUCAGCUGCCAAACAGAUAGUGUGUCACUGUGUGACAGUAUGUCACUCCCCUGAAUUUAAAUGGAACAUUUGAAAUGUUGAAACCUGUGGAACAUUUUUUUUAAACCAAAAAAUACAAUGAUGAAAAAAAUUGUAAUUGACUUAAUGGGCAGAGAUAGAAAUCUCAAGAAAAGUCUUGCUUGCCGUAGAAGGUUUAAGGAAUCAAUCUUGCCUUUGUUUGAUCUGGAUAAAUCUCCAAGGAAUAAGCAAAAUCAACUUUCUAUCAUUAUGGAUUGCUUGCUCCUCAGACUCCUGUCAUCUCCUGCACUGCCUUCAUAGUAAUGUAGAAAACUCUCAUGUCUGUAAACCUAACCCUAUUUUCCCAAUACAGUAAGCACUGAAAGGUUAUGGAAAGACUGGCACACUAAAUACCAGAUCAUACACUCUGCAGGAGCCACUGUGUUUUAUUUAUCUCUAUCUGUGUUUCUAUUCUUUUUUUUUCUAUUGGGAUAUAUGGGGUGUUUAGGGAGGACUGGCACCUCUGAAGUGAGGGCUUUCGGGGCUCUUAUCAGGGCUUUCCUCCGCUGUUGUCUACCUGCCACCCAACUCUACCUGUGGCUCCAAGAAGCUGCAGCACGCCCACUGGCCACACUCUGCUAACCCAUCCAAGAAGGUGGCCAAGCCACAUUGUGAUUAAACAAGGAGAUAGAUGUCCACUCCCAGCGUAUGAAUACUUCCUUCCAGCAGAGUGGCGAGAUGAGAGCACUUUGUUCCGGUGGCUUUGAAGGAAACCGGAAGUAAGCACUAUGGAGCACUUCGAGCUUGCUCAGACAUGGAAGAUGCCAGAUUAUCCCCUGCAUGCUGGGCCAUUGCCAGUCAUCCUGGCUUGUAUCUUCUCACUGGACCUCAGUGACUCCGGAAGAGGGGGGGAAAUAACAAGACAAAGUCAUCUUGGACUAUCAUUGAAUAAACCAAGAAAUCAACUGAGACUCUUGUCUAAGAUCAGAUAA
RNAcentral lists this long non-coding RNA (1071 nucleotides) under Monodelphis domestica (gray short-tailed opossum). RNAcentral describes it as "lncRNA (ENSMODG00000046006.1)". Lineage: Eukaryota; Metazoa; Chordata; Mammalia; Didelphimorphia; Didelphidae. The record is from RNAcentral.